This 249-nucleotide ribosomal RNA is filed under the name uncultured bacterium. Its description in RNAcentral is "partial 16S ribosomal RNA". It matches the Rfam family "Bacterial small subunit ribosomal RNA", at positions 528 to 779 of the family's 1533-position model. The record is from RNAcentral.
CGGAGGGCUAGCGCUGUUCGGAAUUACUGGGCGUAAAGCGCACGUAGGCGGACUGGAAGUUGGGGUGAAAUCCCGGGGCUCAACCUCGGAACUGCCUUCAAACUAUCAGUCUGGAGUUCGAGAGAGGUGAGUGGAAUUCCGAGUGUAGAGGUGAAAUUCGUAGAUAUUCGGAGGAACACCAGUGGCGAAGGCGGCUCACUGGCUCGAUACUGACGCUGAGGUGCGAAAGCGUGGGGAGCAAACAGGAUU